AACGUCUGAACUGCAGCAUCUUGUGAGGAUCAAACGGAGUAUCAAGAUUCUAUACCACAUGAGCUAACUGUUCUUUCACAUUCUGCAAGGAGAGCAACGAGUAGAUUGCACAGUUAGUGCAAUCAACACAUCCUUUUUUGAUUCGGCUAUAAAACUGCCUUCCACAUAAAAUUAAAUACUGCAACAGGAGUAGAAUCAGCAGCCAAAAUCUUUCUGAGCAGUUAUGACCAGUUUAAAUUAAACUACAGCUGCAAUUAUUUCUUGGCUACGGACCUGGAGGGUGAUAGGAGGCACAGAGGCACCACAAUGAGGACGAUGAAGUAAUGAUGGAGGAAAACGACAUUGAUAUGAAAUUGAUAGGGGGAAGCAAAAACACACCUACAGAACUAUAUUUUCCUGUUUUUCUGUUUUUAUUUUUUUUAUCCAACACAACCCAAAACUCCAUAAAACACAGACACACACACACACCCACACUCCUUUUCUCCCCCCUGUGUGGUUUAGCACAAGCAGCUUGGCAGCUGCUGUCUGUUUACUAGGGGUGCAACGAUAUUCGUAUCGAUAUUGAACCGUUCGAUACAGUGCUUUCGGUUCGGUACGCAUAUGUAUCGAACAAUACAAUUUUUUUCAAAUUUUUUUUAUUUUUUAUUUUUAUUUAUUUAUUUAUUUUUUGUGUCCCGUUUGGAUCUAUAGCCAUCAGAAUUGUUGUCUUGAGGCCAAGAAAGAUGCCAAGAGGAUUUAUUUUACCAAGUGGAUCAUCAUAUUGGUCCAUUUGAUUGACCUUUAUUAUAAUUAUGAAUUUAUUUUAUUUUCAGUUGCAAACGGGACAGACAUGACUGUGGGAUAGGACAGGGGGAAAGAAUGAAAGAAAGAGGGGGAGAGAAAGAAAGAAAACCAAAGGGGAGAAAAAAAAAGAACAAUACAAAAUUUGUAAUUUAUUUUAUCAACUUUCCUUCUGACGAUGCUGUCUGUGUUGAGCGCUCAGUGAAUCUGCAUUUGACUACUCCGCCUAGGCUCGAGAGUGCAGCCUA
Astatotilapia calliptera (eastern happy) is the source of this 1028-nucleotide long non-coding RNA. Lineage: Eukaryota; Metazoa; Chordata; Actinopteri; Cichliformes; Cichlidae. The record is from Ensembl.